Molecule: ribosomal RNA, 492 nt
Filed under: uncultured bacterium
Lineage: Bacteria
Description: partial 16S ribosomal RNA
Rfam family: Bacterial small subunit ribosomal RNA
Source: RNAcentral
AGUGAACGCUGGCGGUAGGCCUAACACAUGCAAGUCGAACGGCAGCACAGUAAGCGCUUGCUCUUACGGGUGGCGAGUGGCGGAGGGGUGAGGAAUACAUCGGAAUCUACUUUUUCGUGGGGGAUAACGUAGGGAAACUUACGCUAAUACCGCAUACGACCUACGGGUGAAAGCAGGGGAUCUUCGGACCUUGCGCGAUUGACUGAGCCGAUGUCGGAUUAGCUCGUUGGCGGGGUAAAGGCCCACCAAGGCGACGCUCCGUAGCUGGUCGGAGAGGAUGGUCGGCCGCCCGGGAACGGAGACACGGUCCAGACUCCUACGGGAGGCAGCAGUGGGGAAUAUUGGACAAUGGGCGCAAGCCUGAUCCAGCCAUACCGCGUGGGUGAAGAAGGCCUUCGGGUUGUAAAGCCCUUUUGUUGGGAAAGAAAAGCAGCAGGUUAAUACCCCGCUGUUCUGACGGUACCCAAAGAAGAAGCACCGGCUAACUUCGUG